AGACACUGGCUUCACUUCAGAUCAUAUAAGUCUUUUGCCUUUUACUAAGGAUUUCCACCAAGAGGAACAGUUCAGAGUCUUAACCCUUUUAUCUGUUUUUGGGUCUUUACUAUAGUGGAGGC
Cricetulus griseus (Chinese hamster) is the source of this 122-nucleotide small nuclear RNA. Its record names the gene U5. It matches the Rfam family "U5 spliceosomal RNA". From Rfam's summary of the family: U5 RNA is a component of both types of known spliceosome. NCBI's taxonomy places the organism in Eukaryota, Metazoa, Chordata, Mammalia, Rodentia, Cricetidae. The record is from Ensembl.